This 345-nucleotide unclassified non-coding RNA is filed under the name soil metagenome. Its description in RNAcentral is "partial contains 5.8S ribosomal RNA, internal transcribed spacer 2, and large subunit ribosomal RNA". The stretch from base 1 to 120 matches the Rfam family "5.8S ribosomal RNA", at positions 35 to 154 of the family's 154-position model. The record is from RNAcentral.
GAUGAAGAACGUAGCGAAAUGCGAUAAAUAAUGUGAAUUACAGAAUUCAGUGAAUCAUCGAGUCUUUGAACGCACAUUGCGCCCCCUGGUAUUCCGGGGGGCAUGCCUGUCCGAGCGUCAUUGCUGCCCUCAAGCACGGCUUAUGUGUUGGGCCUCCGUCCUCCUCCCGGGGGACGGGCCCGAAAGGCAGCGGCGGCACCGCGUCCGGUCCUCGAGCGUAUGGGGCUUCGUCACCCGCUCUUGUAGGCCCGGCCGGCGCUUGCCGACACAUCAAUCUUUUUUCCAGGUUGACCUCGGAUCAGGUAGGGAUACCCGCUGAACUUAAGCAUAUCAAUAAGCGGAGGA